Molecule: ribosomal RNA, 292 nt
Filed under: uncultured bacterium
Lineage: Bacteria
Description: partial 16S ribosomal RNA
Rfam family: Bacterial small subunit ribosomal RNA
Source: RNAcentral
GUGUCAGCCGCCGCGGUAAAACGUAGGUGGCGAGCGUUAUCCGGAUUCAUUGGGCGUAAAGCGCUUGUAGGUGGCCCUGUAAGUUGGACGUGAAAUCUCCCGGCUUAACCGGGAGAGGUCGUUCAAUACUGCGAGGCUGGAGGAUGUCAGAGGGCAGCGGAAUUCCUGGUGUAGCAGUGAAAUGCGUAGAUAUCAGGAGGAACACCCGUGGCGAAGGCGGCUGCCUGGGGCAACCCUGACACUGAGAAGCGAAAGCUAGGGGAGCGAACGGGAUUAGAAACCCUGGUAGUCC